AAUUAUGUAUCUUUAUCAAAUCUUCCGAAUUUCAUUGAGGAAACUACUUAGUAAUUUCAAAAAAAGAGAGUUUUGAACCGUACCCUAGACACGGGGCCUAUAUCGUGCUGAUAUUUUGUUGGCACAAUACGACACAGUAGAUAGAACCCAUACGAUGGGCACUUAAAUCCUCGCUAUUAGCAUAUUGUCAUGUAUAAUUGUCAAUCUGCAAUUUCAAUUAUUUAAUUUAGUUUUGAUGAUAAAGCUAGAUCAUGUUUAUGAAAUUUACCAAUGAAAGGUGUACUUGACUAUUAGCACCAAUACAUUCUUGUUAGCUAAAUGACCCUUUUUUCAUGGUUAAAUAAUGCAUCUUUUGACAAACUUUUUGAUUAUUAACUUGUUUUAGUUGAGUUUGGACAGUGUUUAUGUUUACUUGCCAGCAAUUUACGCACUACCCACUUAAUGGCCACAUGCCAACACGAUAGGAAACUUUUACUGCAUAUGGUCUUCCAAAUUUUGGAAAUCUGUGCUUGUAAAUUAAAUUAGAAUUUUGCAUCUAAUCAUAUCGUUUGUGUGGUAAAAUCACUUAGCCAGGGCAAAAAUAAUAAGUUUAAUUUCAUAUGGGGCCUUGUGAAGAUAACAAACAGAAUUAUAGAGUUGAGCUAGAAUACUCUCAAAAGCACCAUGAAGAUGGUGCUUUUGAGUUUUUAGCCAUUGGAUGGAGAGAUGUGAGGUUGAGAUGAUGGUGGUAGGUGGUGGUAGGUAGAAUAGUUUUUGAUCCAAAGGCUAUUAGUAAUCAAGGAGUAGAUCCAAGGGCUAGAAACUUAAAAGCACCAAGGGGUUGGUCCAUUGGUGCUUCUAAAAGUAUUCUAGCUCAAUUCGGAAUUAUAUAUCUAUAAAGUUAAAGUAAUCAGAUUUAUCCCUCCAAAAAUUCUUAUAGGUUAUAUUUUCCCAUUUAGUUUGUUAUUGUUAUUCUGAUGUUUCUUUUGAACAGUUGGUUAAGUAAAAUGACAAGUUUUCCAUUGCAAAUAUGUCCCUUCAAAAAGCCCUAACAGUUAUAGGUGUGCAAAUAUGCUCUCCCAACAAGCCCCAACCGUCAUCUUAUUCUUCUAUUGAAACCCACCCAACCUCUAUUGUUCUAACCUCUUCUCUUAGUCCUUCUCUCUUUCAACCAUAUCUCACACCUCCCACACUUGUAUCCUCUUCUCUCUCCCCUCUCCUAUAUCGCUGGCACCAACUUUCACUCUUUUCUUCUCUCUUUACGAUGAAAGGGAUAGAUUUAAUCACUCUAUGAUGAAAAGAGGCGAAUAUGAAUAUAUUACAACUUUUGGAGGGACAAAUUUGAUCUCUUAAACUUCGCAAAGAUAGAUUUGUAAUUUGAUGCCUUUAUAAAGACACGUAUGAAAUUAACCCUUAACUAUGAGGGGUACAAAGGUCAAUUACUUCCUGACAAUUGUGGUUAAGCUUUUUAGCUUUUACCCAUGUUUAGCCAAAAUUUUCUACACAGACUAGUAGUAGGAACAAGGUUUUAAGUGCCCGUCGGCACGGGCCGUAUCUACCGUACCGUACCGUGCCAACAAGAUACCGGCACGAUUCAGACCUCGUGUCGAUGGCACAGCUCAAAACCCUCUAUUCUUUAAAUUAGUAAGUAAUUUCCUCAAUAAAUUUUAAAAGAUGUGAUAAAAAGACAUAAUAAAUAGAUAGAAUAUUUUGUUGCUAAAGAAAAUAAAUAUUUCAUGCUAUUAUGUGUCGGCACAUAAGAAUUUUUUUGACCGGCACGCACCGUGCCAUAACAUGCUGGCAAGUUUCCGACACUAGCCUGUGCCACGGCACUUAAAUCAUUGAGUAGGAAUAUAUAUGAAAUCGUUAAACUUUUGGAAAGACAAGUUUACUCACUUAAACUUUAUAGGGAUAUAUUUAUUAUUCGAUAUUUUUAUAGGGACCUGAAUGAAAUUAAACCAAAGUAAUAAUAUUAUUUUUGCAUCUGUUGUUUUUGUUGAAUUGUGGAAAACAUGAUUACAGAGGGGUUUAGGGCUUCAAUCCACCGUAAGUACUAAUUAUUAUUUAUAUGGAGAGACUUUACACGAGUUUAAAAAAUAUUAAAAAAUUAGAAAAUAGACAAAAAAAAAAAAAGUCUUCAGUCAUCAAAUAAUAAUGCCAAAACGUAAUGUGCUUUACAUGUUUAUGAAAUGUGAGUAUCCUAUUAAAAGUUCAAUUUGGAAGUGUUUUGAUUGCUAUUAAAUGUGCUCGACCUCAUUGGUGAUUGCUUGUCAAGAUGCCCAUCUAGCUAGUUAUAGGUCUUAAAUAAUAAUCUAAGACCUAGCAGCAAUACGAAGUGUUUUUCUCUUCUAUUGGCUCUUAUGUAUAAUUACCAUUCAACAAAUAGUCUUAUCGUCUGUUGGUUUGGUUUCUCGAUUCAUUUUAAAUGUAUAGUACAUGCACUUUAUUGCAUGAAACUGUGAAAUGACGAUCUUUCUAGGAUUGGAGUACAAAGAGAGCAAAGUUCUAGAGGAUGAUUAUGAUUAAGUACACUACACUAAAGAACAAAGAAACAACAAAACAACAGGAGAGUGUUGAAGGAGAUAAAUUAUGAACUUGUACAAUUGGUCUAAAUUAUGGAAUAUAGAAGAGACAAAGCUAACUAUCAAAAUUAUUCAAGGCACUAAUAUAGCUUGUGAAGAUCUUUCUAUCAACCAAAACCUCUUAACCUUUGGAAGCUAGAUCAGUAGGCUCUUAACCAAAGAAAGCUGAUCUAAACUGCAGGUUUGUCUUGUGGCUUUCAUCUAUCCUGAACCCAUACUACCAAAUAGGAUACAAGUAAAACUUCGUCCAACAAAAAGGUUGCAAUGCAAUGUUACUCUCAGCUGCUUACAGGACCAAUUCUAGCGAAAUACUGUAAUAUAUUGAACCUCAAUAUGAUAUACUGAGCUUUGGCCAAAAAAGGUCAAAGCACCGAUGGAAAGGGUACCAAUACUAUUUGGAUGUGUUUAGAUUGAUAAGAGAUAGCUUAGAAUUGAAUUUCUGCAAAAAUCAUAGCAAAAACAAAGAAAUGAGAAAAGGAGGACCGAAAUUACUAUUCAUAAUGUCAAACUGUAGAGUUUGAUAUUGAACCAGAGUCUGAGAAGUUCCGACAGGGAGUAACCUUCGGGUUCCAGAGUUUCAUUUAGGAACUCCGAAACUUCAAUAGCGGAAGGUUGUCCGAGCAUGGUGGCGGUUUUUAUGCAAAAUAGUGAGGCUUUUGAGGUUUAGUUGCAAUUGUUACACCCUGUUUAUAUAGAGGCCUUCUUUAGUGGAGAGAAAUCCUAACCCUGGGGCUCUCUCCGUUUCUCUUUGUAAGGUACCGAGUUUUGAAGUACUAUACUAAACUUGGGCAAUUGGAUAAGAUACAAUUGAGAAGCAAUUUAAAUAUGCUCAAAAAUGAGAUUUGAGGGUUUUGAAAUGAUUAGAAGUGGAUUAGAGGCUCAAGCAGCGAAAACAAGAAUUUUCAGAAAUUGCGUUUUUGAGCUAUGGGUUUCGGAACUUGACUGCACUGCGCAAAAAACAAGCUCCGGGUUUCGGAACCUGAACCCAUGUUCCGGAACCUGCUUGCACUAACAGCCCAGUUUGAGGGGUAUUUUGGAAAUUUUGAGAGGGCGGCUUAUAGGGGACCCUCGCCUCCUCCCUGUUCAAACACACACACACACACACACAUGCGUAGAGAGAGAGAGGGAACCGAGCUCUCCCUCUCCCUCAUGACCUCUCUAGAUCUCUCCCAAACUUGGAGUUUUGGUGGAGUUUGAGUUCGGGAACGCGCAGGGAACAGUGAAUCGAGCUCGUGCGCAAGUUAAGGCUUGGUGCACUCGUGAAUCCAAGGUGGGUUCUUCGGAUUAAACGUUAGGGUUUUUGCUAAAUCCUUUAAUAUUGGAAUUUUUGAGUUCCCUAGAUGAUUCUCUACUAGUUUAAUCAGUGAUUCUCCAUGAAUUUGGGGUAUUUUUGGAGAAAAAUUGAUCAUCUAGUUCUCUAAUUGAAGGUUAGAAAAGAGCCCCAGACAACUCUAAUUUGGAAAUCAGCGAGCGUUCAGUGAUCAAUUGCGAGUUACGAACUGAACCGGUGACAUUGGCCGCGGGAGUCCGAUUGCAUGUGUCUACAAGCAAUCGAAAACAUUGUCAGGUGGGUUGUACUUCACCAAAGUGAUUAGGUCACUUCCAUGCCAAAGAGUAAAGUACGGUAUUAUUGUUUAUGCAUGUAUAUAAUGGUAGGUUGUAUGUGAUAAAUAUGAAUAUAUGAAUCACGUGUUACUAGAUGGAAUUACCUACCAUUGGACAAGAACAAUAGGCAUGUGAAAACAUAUAGGAUGUAUAUAUAUGUAUGCCUAGGUUUGGAAAAUGAACAUAAGUUGAUGAACUCUAGAAAAAUUAGAGAAUUCGACAAGUAAAGAAUCAAGGACUAGAUGGCAUGAAAACUACGAAUCCUAAGUGUGGACAACUAGGAUAGAAAAGAAUAUGAUUGAACAUUGAACCUAAUGUCAUUGAACAUAGGUUGCAAAAUGUAGUGGUAGUAAGACCACUUGGAGUGGAAUGUCAUUGAACCUAGUGUCGUUGAACAUAGGUUGGAAAUGUAGUGGUAGGAUGGCCACUAGGACAUGAAUGACUUGAACCUAGAAAGGUUGACAAUAUAGGAUAUGUGACGAACCCUUGAGACUUGGAAAGUGGAUUCCGGAAUCCAGGAGUUGUGACCGUCGAAAGUUCUUGGCCGUUAGUGCAUGUGGCAUGUUUCUAUCCCACCACAAGAACUUCGAAGCUUGUGACUGUGAAAGAUUCUUGACCGCGGGUGCAUGUAGCAUAUUCCUCUCCUACUGGAGAAUUUUCGUGCGCUAGGGUGUAUGUGGCAUAUUCCUCUCCUUAUCGGGAAUUCCGGCUGUGGGUGUAUGUGGCAUGUUCCUUUCCCACCGGGGGAUUCAUGACCGCAGGUGUACGCAGCUUUUUCACCGCCCGUCGGACGCCUUGAUAUCGAAGGUGCUUGUGGUAUAUCCCUCACCCGUCGAGUGGAUCGAAGGCUAAAAUGCACGGCAUGUUCCUUUCCUCAGGCCUGGAAAUGAACGGUAAUCUGCUGGUAAUUGGCUCAAGACCAAGUAGGGUGGUAUAGCUUGGCUAAGGUAAAAGAACCUUAGAAGCAUAUUGGAUUAUGCAAUGGAUAGUGAAAUAGAAAGUAAAAGAACUCACCUACUUGCAUUGAUUUCAUUAUUGCAUUUAGUUGAGGCAUAAGCAUGGAUGUUUUAUUUCUUGCACUUAGUUGAUUUAUAUGUUUAUAAAUAGCACUAACCUGCUUAUGUUGCUUCAUUUGGACCUGGUGAGUCGAGCUCUUCCCUUAGGUGGCCGUACCCACUGGGAACUAUAUUUAUAGUUCUCACCCCUAUGUUUUUCAGGUCCACACGUGAGCGGCGCGGCCGGGCGACGCGAGGAAAGGGUGUAGCUCAAUAAAUAGUGCCCUACUACUUGUGACAAGAGAUAGAUGUACCCUGGGUUGGUAGCUUAGGGGUAUUAAAAGAAAAAAAAUAAAAUUGUAAUAAAGUUGAUUGUGUUUGAAUGAAAAAGAAUGUAAAUGUAACGUGAAUGUCAUAAAUGCUUGUAAUAGCGUAGUGGUUUUAUGUUUUGAUGUCUUCCUUAUGCAAUCUAUGUAUGAAUUAUGUACUUGGUUGGAACCUCUUAAAUUGUACUGAUUGUGACGCCUUCGACGGACAGAGAAAACUCUGUCCGUUCGGCGGUCUGUGCGCUUGCCCGAACCGACCAAAAUGGCGGUCCCAGGGCGUGACACUCUUGCUUCUCUCUCUCUCACUCCUCCCUCUAGUAUCGAAGGAAUCGAAGCAUAUUUUCACUCCUUUACCACGUAGAAUUGAGAUCGGGCUUCGAAGGAAGAAAACAACUACCUCGACCAGGCUAGCUUCUCCUUGGAGGGGGGAAGCUCUAGAUUUCAGUGAGUAGCACUCAAACCUUGAUUCUUUUCGAGUAAUUGCCGUUGAUUCCGAGCUUCGAGGGUUUCAAGUAGUUUUGGCAUUUCGAUGUUACCUUAGGCUUGAUUUCAGCGAAAAGUUGGAAAACCUAGGGUUUUCUAGAUUGUUAUGGAUAAAUCCCCCAUAUUAGUGGGUAAUAGAGCUAGUAUGGAAUCCCCCAGUCAAUUUCACUGCAAAAUCAAUGUUUUUAGCAAAAAUGCAUGUUUCGUAGGAACAAGUUAAGGGUUCGAGUUUUGUGGGUGUUCCUUGCCUCAAGCUACUAGAGACUGAUUCGAGUCAAAUUGACAUGGCAUUUCCAUAGAUUUCCCAGAAUCAUACCUAGUAGUAGAAAUGAUCAUGAAUGGAACUCUAGAGAAGCUAUUGAUUUUCUUCUGUUCUCCUUAGGACCAAGAGAAGGUUGAGGAGCUAACGACUCGUCCAAAAUGGUCCAACUUUGUCGUGGUUUGCCCAUUCCUAUCCUUUCUUCUUGUUUAUCACUAAAAUAGUCGUAGUACAAGUUGUAUAUACUUGUAUAAGGAUAGGAUGAGUUGUUGUAUUCCAGUAGUAAACUAGCAUGCUUAGUGUGGACUUCUAUGCAUAGGGACAUCUAUGAUUUGCUAUCAUUAUGAUUACACCUUGAUCUCCCUGUAAGGACACUUGACAUAUGUAACCUCAAGAUUUAAACUCUCCUUGUAGCGCCAAUUGCUAUUGAGAACAAAGAUUUAAACCCGCCCUAUAGGGGCACCCAUGAUUCACAUUAGAAACAUGCUGUUGUCACAUUGAUGUUGACAUAUGUAUUCGUAGUAGCAUAUACGUCCUUGGUAGCCUUAUAGAAGCAGUUGAUAUUCGUGGUUCUCAGAACAUGGUGUAUGUGAUCUCACUUUCCUUCUUGCUUUCGAAUAACCCUCGAGAAUCUUGUGAAAUGGAUAUAAAAAGCAUCAUUCUUCAUUGCAUUGUACUUUGCCUAGCAUGCUUAAUCUUUGGGCAUUCCCACACACUUGUAUUGACGAUCCAUGCCUUUUGGAUCCCGAUAACCUUGAUUGGACAUAGAAGCAUGCGAGUUGACACUAAAAGUACCGUCAAGAAGGUGGCACGAUACAGGGAGGUCUCGGACCUCCCUCCGUGCCGCGUGCCGUGCCGCACAAGACAGCGUCACGGCGUAGCGUGCACUGUGCUUUUUUUUUUUCUUUUUUUUUCUUUUUAUGUUUUUCUUGUUUUGUUUUUUGGGAUAUCCAAAGCAUUCUGAAUCAAGGUUUUAAGUGCCCGUCUGCACAGGCCGUAUCUACCAUGUCGUAUCGUGCCAACAAGAUACCAGCACGAUACAGACCCCAUGCCGAUGGCACAGCUCAAAACCCUCUAUUCUUUAAAUUAGUAAGUAAUUUUCUCAAUAAAGUUCAAAAGAUGUGAUAAAAAGAUAUAAUAAAUAGUUAUAAUAUUUUGUUGCUAAAGAAAAUAAAUAUUUCAUGCUAUUAUGUGUCGGCACAUAAAAAUUUUUUUGACAAGCACGCAUCGGCGCAGCUUGGCACGCACUGUGUCGUACCGUGCCGGCAAGUUUCCAACACGACCCCGUGCCACGGCACUUAAAUCCUUGUUCUGAAUACUCCAAGCUCCCACCCAAAGACAUUGCAAAUAGAAAAUUUACUUAUUAGGUAAGUUAAAAAAAUUAUAAUUUUUUUUUUUUGUUUACCAAUAUACAGACAAGAUUUGUCCAAGCCCCCUUCCGCUUCCACCACAGAUAUCUACUUUUUCUUCACAAAUUAUUUUAUCAAAAUUUGUCACACCGCGAAAUUUUUGGCGAAUUAAGGGAAUAAAAUCGAACUCAAUAAACAAAUUUUGAGUCACAUCAAAUAUAAAAUUUUAUUUUUGCACUAGAAGAUUGAAAAUACUAAUAAAAUUAAAAGCUAAAUUAAAUCAAUUGAUACUUAAAUUUAUUUAAUUUUUGUCAUAUAAUAUAUUGCUUAAUUUUUUUGAUAGAUCUACUAAUUUUUUGAAAAAAUUAAUUAAAAUUUUUUUUUUUCAAAUACU
This 7972-nucleotide long non-coding RNA is filed under the name Ananas comosus (pineapple). Its description in RNAcentral is "long non-coding RNA (ACOM_LNC016617)". Lineage: Eukaryota; Viridiplantae; Streptophyta; Magnoliopsida; Poales; Bromeliaceae. The record is from RNAcentral.